RNAcentral lists this ribosomal RNA (361 nucleotides) under uncultured bacterium. Its description in RNAcentral is "bacterial SSU rRNA". It matches the Rfam family "Bacterial small subunit ribosomal RNA", at positions 28 to 382 of the family's 1533-position model. The record is from RNAcentral.
GAUAAACGCUGGCGGCGUGCAUGAGACAUGCAAGUCGAACGGACGAUCGAGGCUUGCUUCGAUCGUUAGUGGCGGACGGCUGAGUAACGCGUAGGUGACCUGCCCCGAAGUAGGGGAAGUAACUAGCCCGAAACGGGUAGGGCUAAUACCGCAUGUGGUGGUGUGUUCAAUCACACCAGUAAAGACCGCAAGGCGCUUCGGGAGGGGCCGUGCGUCCGAUUAGCUCGUUGGUGGGGUAACGGCUCACCAAGGCGACGAUCGGUAGGUGGUCUGAGAGGACGAUCACCCAGACUGGGACUGAGACACGGCCCAGACUCCUACGGGAGGCAGCAGUCGGGAAUUUUGCGCAAUGGACGAAAGU